This is a long non-coding RNA of Penaeus monodon (black tiger shrimp), 251 nucleotides long. RefSeq lists it as uncharacterized. Lineage: Eukaryota; Metazoa; Arthropoda; Malacostraca; Decapoda; Penaeidae. The transcript is spliced from 3 exons. The record is from RefSeq and is a predicted model, not a curated record.
UUAAUUUUAUGGUCAUUGGGUUACAAAGCCGGUGGUCGUGUAACGGCUUACGGUGGUACCUGAAUUUUCUGCAUCUCUUAUUUUUAUUUUUAAUGUUAAUCAUUGUAGGUUUUAUCAACUGCUACCUCCCAUAUUUCUGCAGUACUUGAUUUUAAACACAGACGAGUUCGACACAAGGAAGGAAUCAAGGCAUUAGCUACAUAUACACCCAUAAACGAGAAUGUUCAACAGAACCCCCCCCUAAGUGUGCA